GGGGGGAAGGGGUUAGUUUUGUCUGAACUUCCAGUUUGGCGUGAUGUGUCUUCUUCUCCUUUUCUUUUACCUUAGUUUUCUCCAGCCAUGGUGAUGCCGGAGGAAAUUGAUCGGCGGCUGAUGCUGCUGGUGCCGCGGCGGUCCUGGCCAUGUAAACAAUUGUUUUAAGCUGCGACAUUGAUUAAAAUGGGAAAAAUUGAAGAAAAUCAAAACCCUUAAAAUUGACAUUCGACUAUUACACAAAGAAAACAUUUGUACCUCAAAAAGUCGUUUCAAUGGAAGGUAGAUAGAAAUCAGAAGCCGCUUCAAUGGAGAUGUGUCCUGGUUCUUUAGGGUAAAUUGUUCGAUGGCGUGGCAGUAUUGGGCUUGGGUUGUGGCUGCAUUGCAGUUGUGGUUUGCAGAUUUUAAGGUUUGUUGUUUUCCGGUUCGGUUUUGCUUCGUAAUUGAUUGUUGUUUGGUUUAUUAAGUUUGUAAUAGUGUGAUUAGAGAUCUGUUUGAUUAGGGGAUUUGGUUUUUUGAUGCAAUUUAGGCUUGAAUUGGAUUGGAUUUGUUUCGAAAAUAUACCUAGAUUUGAUUAUAUUAGCUUAUUAAACAUUGUGGUGAUUAUUAAA
This is a long non-coding RNA of Chenopodium quinoa (quinoa), 611 nucleotides long. RefSeq lists it as uncharacterized. The transcript has 2 exons. The record is from RefSeq and is a predicted model, not a curated record. Lineage: Eukaryota; Viridiplantae; Streptophyta; Magnoliopsida; Caryophyllales; Amaranthaceae.